Molecule: ribosomal RNA, 828 nt
Filed under: uncultured archaeon
Lineage: Archaea
Description: bacterial SSU rRNA
Rfam family: Archaeal small subunit ribosomal RNA
Source: RNAcentral
UCCGGUUGAUCCUGGCGGAGGCCAUUGCUAUUGGAGUCCGAUUUAGCCAUGCUAGUCGCGCGGGUUAGACCCGCGGCAUAUAGCUCAGUAACACGUGGCCAAACUACCCUAUGGACGGGGCCAACCUCGGGAAACUGAGGCUAAUCCCCGAUACAGCUCUCACGCUGGAGUGCCGAGAGCUGGAAACGUUCCGGCGCCAUAGGAUGUGGCUGCGGCCGAUUAGGUAGAUGGUGGGGUAACGGCCCACCAUGCCAAUAAUCGGUACGGGUUGUGAGAGCAAGAGCCCGGAGACGGUAUCUGAGACAAGAUACCGGGCCCUACGGGGCGCAGCAGGCGCGAAACCUUUACACUGCACGACAGUGCGAUAAGGGGACUCCAAGUGCGAGGGCAUAUAGCCCUCGCUUUUCUGUACCGUAGGGAGGUACAGGAACAAGUGCUGGGCAAGACCGGUGCCAGCCGCCGCGGUAAUACCGGCAGCACGAGUGAUGGCCGAUAUUAUUGGGCCUAAAGCGUCCGUAGCCGGCCAAACAAGUCCGUUGGGAAAUCGACGCGCUCAACGCGUCGGCGUCCGGCGGAAACUGUUUGGCUUGGGGCCAGAAGAUCUGAGGGGUACGUCCGGGGUAGGAGUGAGAUCCCGUAAUCCUGGACGGACCACCGGUGGCGAAAGCGCCUCAAAAAGAUGGACCCGACGGUGAGGGACGAAAGCUAGGGUCUCGAACCGGAUUAAAUACCCGGGUAGUCCUANCUGUAAACGAUGCUCGCUAGGUGUGCCANAGGCUACNANCCUGUGCUGUGCCCUANGGAANCCAAAAANCGAGCCNCCUGGGA